This 22-nucleotide non-coding RNA is filed under the name Arabidopsis thaliana (thale cress). Lineage: Eukaryota; Viridiplantae; Streptophyta; Magnoliopsida; Brassicales; Brassicaceae. The record is from RNAcentral.
UGUAGCAGAUCCGGUGGUCCUA